This 492-nucleotide ribosomal RNA is filed under the name uncultured bacterium. RNAcentral describes it as "partial 16S ribosomal RNA". It matches the Rfam family "Bacterial small subunit ribosomal RNA", at positions 29 to 507 of the family's 1533-position model. The record is from RNAcentral.
AGUGAACGCUGGCGGUAGGCCUAACACAUGCAAGUCGAACGGCAGCACAGUAAAAGCUUGCUCUUACGGGUGGCGAGUGGCGGACGGGUGAGGAAUACAUCGGAAUCUACUUUUUCGUGGGGGAUAACGUAGGGAAACUUACGCUAAUACCGCAUACGACCUACGGGUGAAAGCAGGGGAUCUUCGGACCUUGCGCGAUUGAAUGAGCCGAUGUCGGAUUAGCUAGUUGGCGGGGUAAAGGCCCACCAAGGCGACGAUCCGUAGCUGGUCUGAGAGGAUGAUCAGCCACACUGGAACUGAGACACGGUCCAGACUCCUACGGGAGGCAGCAGUGGGGAAUAUUGGACAAUGGGCGCAAGCCUGAUCCAGCCAUACCGCGUGGGUGAAGAAGGCCUUCGGGUUGUAAAGACCUUUUGUUGGGAAAGAAAAGCAGCAGGUUAAUACCCCGCUGUUCUGACGGUACCCAAAGAAUAAGCACCGGCUAACUUCGUG